ACUGAAGAUUUGGUGAUUGAGUGGCGGACGGGUGAGUAACGCGUGGGUAACCUACCCUGUACAGGGGGAUAACAGUCAGAAAUGACUGCUAAUACCGCAUAAGACCACAGCACCGCAUGGUGCAGGGGUAAAAACUCCGGUGGUACAGGAUGGACCCGCGUCUGAUUAGCUGGUUGGUGAGGUAACGGCUCACCAAGGCGACGAUCUGUAGCCGGCUUGAGAGAGUGAACGGCCACAUUGGGACUGAGACACGGCCCAAACUCCUACGGGAGGCAGCAGUGGGGAAUAUUGCACAAUGGGGGAAACCCUGAUGCAGCGACGCCGCGUGAGUGGAGAAGUAUCUCGGUAUGUAAAGCUCUAUCAGCAGGGAAGAAAAUGACGGUACCUGACUAAGAAGCCCCGGCUAACUACGUGCCAGCAGCCGCGGUAAUACGUAGGGGGCAAGCGUUAUCCUGAAUUACUGGGUGUAAAGGGUGCGUAGGUGGUAUGGCAAGUCAGAAGUGAAAACCCAGGGCUUAACUCUGGGACUGCUUUUGAAACUGUCAGACUGGAGUGCAGGAGAGGUAAGCGGAAUUCCUAGUGUAGCGGUGAAAUGCGUAGAUAUUAGGAGGAACAUCAGUGGCGAAAGCGGCUUACUGGACUGAAACUGACACUGAGGCACGAAAGCGUGGGGAGCAAACAGGAUUAGAUACCCUGGGUAGUCCACGCCGUAAAC
This 715-nucleotide ribosomal RNA is filed under the name uncultured bacterium. RNAcentral describes it as "bacterial SSU rRNA". It matches the Rfam family "Bacterial small subunit ribosomal RNA", at positions 74 to 807 of the family's 1533-position model. The record is from RNAcentral.